GCGGCAGGCUUAACACAUGCAAGUCGAACGCCCGAGCAAUCGGGAGUGGCAGACGGGUGAGUAACACGUGGGAACAUACCCUCAGGUUCGGAACAACGCCGGGAAACUGGCGCUAAUACCGGAUACGCCCUGUGAAGGGGAAAGGCUUGCUGCCUGAGGAGUGGCCCGCGUUCGAUUAGCUAGAUGGCGGGGUAACGGCCCACCAUGGCGACGAUCGAUAGCUGGUCUGAGAGGAUGGCCAGCCACAUUGGGACUGAGACACGGCCCAAACUCCUACGGGAGGCAGCAGUGGGGAAUAUUGGACAAUGGGCGCAAGCCUGAUCCAGCCAUGCCGCGUGAGUGAUGAAGGCCUUAGGGUUGUAAAGCUCUUUCGCACGCGACGAUAAUGACGGUAGCGUGAGAAGAAGCCCCGGCUAACUUCGUGCCAGCAGCCGCGGUAAUACGAAGGGGGCUAGCGUUGUUCGGAAUCACUGGGCGUAAAGGGCGCGUAGGCGGUCUUUUAAGUCGGGGGUGAAAGCCUGUGGCUCAACCACAGAAUUGCCUUCGAUACUGGGAGACUUGAGUUCGGAAGAGGUUGGUGGAAC
This 584-nucleotide ribosomal RNA is filed under the name uncultured bacterium. Its description in RNAcentral is "bacterial SSU rRNA". It matches the Rfam family "Bacterial small subunit ribosomal RNA", at positions 39 to 667 of the family's 1533-position model. The record is from RNAcentral.